GGGGGGAUACCAGAGCGGUCAAAUGGGGCGGACUGUAAAUCCGCUGCUUCGGCUACGAAGGUUCGAAUCCUUCUCCCCCCACAA
This 84-nucleotide transfer RNA is filed under the name Inquilinus sp. KBS0705. RNAcentral's name for it is "tRNA-Tyr". It matches the Rfam family "tRNA". Rfam says of the family: Transfer RNA (tRNA) molecules are approximately 80 nucleotides in length. Lineage: Bacteria; Pseudomonadati; Pseudomonadota; Alphaproteobacteria; Rhodospirillales; Rhodospirillaceae. The record is from RNAcentral.